UACAAGAAAGCAGGAAGAUGGCGCCAGUCUGUUGCGCUGUCCAAGAAGGACAAUCUCUACAAGGACGCGAUGGAAACUGCAUCGCAAUCUGGAGAUCGUGAUCUUGCCGAAGAACUGCUGUCGUUCUUUAUUGAACAGGUAACUUCAACUAGCGGAAAACGUUUUACUAAUUAUUGGAUCGCAAUUGUGUGUUUCAGCAAAAGAAGGAAUGCUUCGCGUCCUGCCUGUUUACAUGUUACGAUUUGAUCCGGCCCGACGUAGCAUUGGAGCUUGCCUGGAUAAACAACUUGAUCGACUUCUCCUUCCCUUACCUGUUACAAGUAAGACCUUGGAGUUCUUCCUCAUGACUUCUGACACUUUGCUAUCGACUCUAGUUCAUCCGCGAGUACACCAGCAAGGUGGACGAUCUGAUCAAAGACAAGCUAGCAGCCGACCAGGAGGUCAAGAGCAAGGAGAAGGAAGAGAAGGAUCUAGUGGCUCAACAGGUUUGUCUCCUCACCUCAUUUGCUGCAACUAUAGACUGAAUUCGAUCUUGCAGAACAUGUACGCUCAGCUCCUUCCUCUGGCGCUGCCCGCUCCUCCGAUGCCCGGCAUGGGAGGCGGUCCUCCAGGAUUCAACCCGGGCAUGCCACCUCCUUUUGGUGGAAUGCCUGGCUACGGCAUGCCUCCCAUGGGCGGAUAUUAGAGGUAGGAAGAUUAUCUUUUGUUUUCAAUCACGAAAGACUACACAGGUGAAGGGUCUAGCAGAGAUUUUUUGUAAAUUUAGAUCGAGAAUAAUAUAUGGUCUUGUAUUUUUCUUUCUUUUUAUCAGCGGCUAGCACCAUGGAAGUCACUCACCUUGCAAAUAAAAUGCAGAUACCAAAGUAAGAACUUGUGCAACUUCUUGUUUCGUAGUUUGAUAGAAAUCGUCUUGAAGCAGCAAAUGAGAGGACCACCAAGCUGCUCAAGAAAGCCACGGCGUCGACUGCGUUGGAAACAUCGGGAAUCUCCAUGCGUUUCCUGUAGCGCAGCUCCAGCCAUGCACACGUAACAGGCACGUCGAUUGGACAAAUCAAGCACACUCCUCCACAAGGUAGAAGAUGACUUUGUUGACACCCGCGUCCUCCAGGACCGGCAGCUGUUGGAGGGUACCAGACCGGCAGCCGCGGCUUCAGCAUCUGGUAGCCUCCAACAGCUGCCCAGAAGCGGAUAUCGUCGAGAAGCAUCCAGCUGCACUCUUCCUCCGCCUCCUCCCAGCUCACCGCGGCCAACAAGUUGACGAAAGCUCUUUCCCAGCCUCAGCAGUUGCAUUGCCUUGGGCAAAGCGGUGUCACCUCUUGUAGCAGCGAAGUAGAACAAGUCCCAGCAAACGAAGCCGUCUAGGAGCCAGAAGGCCGUUCCCGAGCCAGAGGCCGUAGCCGGCUGUGAUAUCGUUCUGGAAAAGCCAUUGAUUUGCUCGACCAUGGCCGUGUGCUUGGACUGCCCUGGAGGCACGAUUGGAAGAGGCGGGCGACGGUCUUGCUCGCGAAGCCGUGAAGCUCCACUGUGGCGACCAUCUGUCACCCCACACAAAUCCAUUCCCGAAUCCCUGCGACUGUGGAGGGUAACGUGUGCACUACCUAGAUCAUCCUUCGGACAUACGACACUGGGAUGCAUGCUACGUGCGGUUGGUGUAUCGUUCCAUCCCGGAUACCACCUGCGAGGUGGCGCUGACGUUGAGCGGAAGCAUGGGCAUGGCGCAGGUCCGGGGGCAGCGUCAGCCCCUGGUUGCGAUCGGCCACCUCGUUGCUGCAAUGUUGACAUAGGACACAAGGUAGAAGUCCUUGGCCGCCACAUUUCCACAGAGGGCAUAAAUAAAAGGGAUCAAUGGAAGUAAUAUAGUAUUGUUUGAAAAAGGAUGCUCACUAAGAUGAUCGAGACCAUUUCUGUACUGCUGCAACGAGCAGGCCGAGUUACCGGGGGUGAUCUAUCGAUGCCCGCGAUUUACUUUCAACAAAGGUAAAAGCACUUUCGCGUACGGUGGAAGCCUCAGGAUCAUAAGAUAGGCCUCUCACUCGCAAGCUUCUCUCGUGUAAAUUCAGCCGCUUUUGUGAAUAACCUUUGUUCUUUCUUUCGUUCACAUGGGUUGAUGAAAUCCGUAUGGGGAUCUCGUAGCUUAUUGUGACCAUUGACUAGUCAAAAGGACGCCUUCUCUCUGGCGAGAAUGCGGUAAUACACGAUCACACAGACUCAGGGAGUAGAAAUCUCUCGCUCGCUCGCUUACUCAGCUGUAGACUGGCAGCUACGAGGAUGUUGCUGAAGACUCCAAGUCGAUCAAUCGGCUGGCUUUUGCUCCUUGAACGAUCUGUUAAUCCCCGUUGUUGAUCACACUCGUGUGGUUGACAUAACGCUCAAGGUUUGUAUUUUGAUUCUCUUGCCACGUUUCUGACACCUUUCUGCAGGCUAGAAACCUUCAUCUUGUGAAGCCAUACAUGGUGGCUGUGCAAAGCGCAAAUGUGGCCGCUGUGAACGAGGUACGUUGAAGAAGAAGAUUGAGAUCGCCUAAGAGAAUCCAUUUAUCUUCAAAUUUCUUUGGCGCAAAAGGUUUGAACUUGCGGAAGACACUGUUUUGCGGCUUGAAAAACACGAGCUUAUCGCCUACAUUUACAAGAAAGCAGGAAGAUGGAGCCAAUCUGUUGCGCUGUCCAAGAAGGACAAUCUUUGUACAAGAAACGGCAUCGCAACCUGGAGAUCGUGAUCUUGCUGAAGAACUGCUGUCGUUCUUUAUUGAACAGGUAACUUGGAUAGCAAUUUACUAAUGAUUGGAUCGCAAUCAUUAGUGUGAUCAGCAAAAGAAGGAAUGAUUCAUGUCUUGCCCCAGCAAGGUGGACGAUCUGAUCAAAUACAAG
This 2867-nucleotide long non-coding RNA is filed under the name Selaginella moellendorffii. RNAcentral describes it as "long non-coding RNA (SMOE_LNC000933)". Lineage: Eukaryota; Viridiplantae; Streptophyta; Lycopodiopsida; Selaginellales; Selaginellaceae. The record is from RNAcentral.